RNAcentral lists this ribosomal RNA (276 nucleotides) under uncultured prokaryote. RNAcentral describes it as "partial 16S ribosomal RNA". It matches the Rfam family "Bacterial small subunit ribosomal RNA", at positions 524 to 798 of the family's 1533-position model. The record is from RNAcentral.
UACGUAGGGGGCAAGCGUUGUCCGGAAUAAUUGGGCGUAAAGGGCGCGUAGGCGGCAAGGCAGGUCAGCAGUGGAAGUCCCAUUUUUCAAGGUGGGGAGGGCUGUUGAAACUGCGUUGCUUGAGUGCAGGAGAGGUUAUCGGAAUUCCCGGUGUAGCGGUGAAAUGCGCAGAGAUCAGGAGGAAUACCGAAGGCGAAGGCAGUCUUCCAAGCCGUUAUUGACGCUCAACUGCGAAGGUGUGGGUAUCAAACAGGAUUAGAUACCCCGGUAGUCCCU